This 414-nucleotide ribosomal RNA is filed under the name Salegentibacter sp. RNAcentral describes it as "bacterial SSU rRNA". It matches the Rfam family "Bacterial small subunit ribosomal RNA", at positions 505 to 916 of the family's 1533-position model. Lineage: Bacteria; Pseudomonadati; Bacteroidota; Flavobacteriia; Flavobacteriales; Flavobacteriaceae. The record is from RNAcentral.
GUGCCAGCAGCCGCGGUAAUACGGAGGAUCCAAGCGUUAUCCGGAAUCAUUGGGUUUAAAGGGUCCGUAGGCGGGCAGUUAAGUCAGUGGUGAAAGUCUUCCGCUCAACGGGAGAACUGCCAUUGAUACUGAUUGUCUUGAGUUAUUAUGAAGUGGUUAGAAUGAGUAGUGUAGCGGUGAAAUGCAUAGAUAUUACUCAGAAUACCGAUUGCGAAGGCAGAUCACUAAUAAUAUACUGACGCUGAUGGACGAAAGCGUAGGUAGCGAACAGGAUUAGAUACCCUGGUAGUCUACGCCGUAAACGAUGGUUACUAGCUGUUCGGCCCGAUUAAGGGCUGAGUGGUUAAGCGAAAGUGAUAAGUAACCCACCUGGGGAGUACGUUCGCAAGAAUGAAAACUCAAAGGAAUUGACGG